CGAACGGGUGAGUAGCACGUGGGCAACCUACCCUUCUGUGGGGGACAACUCCGGGAAACCGGGGCUAAUACCGCAUUCGGUCACCGUUCGCAUGGACGGUGCAGAAAGCAGCAAUGCGCAGGAGGAUGGGCCCGCGGCCUAUCAGCUAGUUUGUGGGGUGAUGGCCUACCAAGGCGACGACGGGUAGCCGGCCUGAGAGGGCGACCGGCCACACUGGGACUGAGACACGGCCCAG
This 235-nucleotide ribosomal RNA is filed under the name uncultured bacterium. RNAcentral describes it as "partial 16S ribosomal RNA". It matches the Rfam family "Bacterial small subunit ribosomal RNA", at positions 99 to 334 of the family's 1533-position model. The record is from RNAcentral.